GAGGGUGUAGCUCAGUGGUAGAGUGUGUGCUUAGCAUGCACAAGGUCCUGGGUUCAAUCCCCAGCACCUCCA
Molecule: transfer RNA, 72 nt
Filed under: Camelus bactrianus (Bactrian camel)
Lineage: Eukaryota; Metazoa; Chordata; Mammalia; Artiodactyla; Camelidae
Also listed under: 1 other name
Rfam family: tRNA
About the family: Transfer RNA (tRNA) molecules are approximately 80 nucleotides in length. Their secondary structure includes four short double-helical elements and three loops (D, anti-codon, and T loops).
Source: Rfam by way of RNAcentral